AAUCAACGCUGGCGGCGUGCCUAACACAUGCAAGUCGAACGAGAAAGUGGAGCAAUCCAUGAGUAAAGUGGCGACCGGGUGAGUAACACGUGACUAACCUACCCUAGAGUGGGGAAUAACUUCGGGAAACCGAGGCUAAUACCGCAUAACAUCACGAGGGGCAGAUCCUUGUGAUCAAAGGAGCAAUUCGCUCAAGGAGGGGGUCGCGGCUGAUUAGUUAGUUGGCGGGGUAACGGCCCACCAAGACAAAGAUCAGUAUCCGGCCUGAGA
This 270-nucleotide ribosomal RNA is filed under the name uncultured bacterium. Its description in RNAcentral is "partial 16S ribosomal RNA". It matches the Rfam family "Bacterial small subunit ribosomal RNA", at positions 32 to 297 of the family's 1533-position model. The record is from RNAcentral.